GAUUUCCCCGCUACACGAAAACCCAUUAAUUCUAUAGGGAUGGAUUGUGCAAGCAUGAAUGAAAAAUGUAGGGGUGUGGCCCCUUUGUGAUUGACACAUGGGUUAGACAGCUCUGGCAUGCUUCACACCAAGCACAAGACAGUAAGAAAUGGCGCUGUUCCUUCCUCUAUGAAGAUUGCAGUGGAGAAUGGAUGCCCUAUCCGGAUAUGCCUUCAGGGCAUGAGAGAUAGGGCCGGGCUUGCCGGCUUUAACAUUCAUGGCAUAGCCUGAUGGGCCUGUCAAUCACUUGCACCACAGAGCCCUUCUCAUGAAUAUUCAUGAGGGGAGAUGAAUGAUUCAUGCAGGUGUUGCCUGGUCGGUGAUUGACAGCUCAGUGGAACGAGUGCUGUUUAUGGAUGUGCCACCAGGUGCUCAGGGAUUCCCGCGCUGGUGGUGUAUGUAGCUUCUGGCAUUUCCAUGCACUCGCCCAGGCCGUGAACAUUCCCGGGAAUGUGCAUCUGUGAUUCGGGAGCGCUUCCUCAGAGGUGAUUCUGGGAGUUCCAACCAACGGCAGGAGGGAUCUCGGGGUGGGACAGAAGAUGCUCAGGGAGCAGACGCAGAAAGAGGCAUCAGCUGUUAUCAGGACUAACCGACCCAACGAUCGGCGCAGAUAAGGUUCCAGCUAGUCUACAGAGAAGACCUAACGUGAGAGGACAUAACAUCACAGGAAACCCUACACAGUCUUCAGCCAUGUUGUCCUCUUCGCUCCCAGAGGAAAUGGUCCUGAGGAGGGAUGCUGGCAUAAAUGUGAUCUGACACCUUCAAAUGGGCCCAUUUAGACACAUCUUUGCAGUUUCUCAUCCUGACAAGCAAAAGCCCUCUGAGGACAACUAAAGUACCAUUACAGCCAAAUGCUGGUCCCAACAAGCUUGGUGAAGGAGCUGCUCUGUCAACAAUAGUUCAUCACCUGACUGUGUUGCCUAGGCACAUUGGUUCAGACAGAUCUUCUGACUGUAGCAAUUGCUGUUGCUGGGUCAAGAAAUGGAGGGUUGAUGUAGCAAAAGUGACUUCUUGGGACUUAACUGUCAAUACCUAUUCACACGACCCAUUUGCCAACGUACUCGAGCGCCAAAACAACAACUGACUAUGCUCAAGUAGUAAUCUGUAUGGACACUGAACAGCGUGAAUUUUCAUCUUAACAAGUGAUUGUAGUUUUUAUUUUUUAAGCAGUCAUAAUUCCAACAGCUUACUCUACUGAAGAUAGCUCACGAGUGUGGAUCUCAACUGGGGAGAACAAAACACCAAAACCUACAGUUCAUAUUAUCUAAAGGGUUACAAAUAUCAAGCCAUCCCAAAGUAUUCAUCA
Branchiostoma floridae (Florida lancelet) is the source of this 1345-nucleotide long non-coding RNA. RefSeq lists it as uncharacterized. The record is from RefSeq and is a predicted model, not a curated record. NCBI's taxonomy places the organism in Eukaryota, Metazoa, Chordata, Leptocardii, Amphioxiformes, Branchiostomatidae. The transcript has 3 exons.